This 1236-nucleotide ribosomal RNA is filed under the name metagenome. RNAcentral's name for it is "bacterial LSU rRNA". It matches the Rfam family "Bacterial large subunit ribosomal RNA", at positions 1564 to 2810 of the family's 2925-position model. The record is from RNAcentral.
UGAAUACGAGAUGCUACGGCGUCGAAGCAGUCUAUGUCAUACUUCCAAGAAAAGCUUGCACUGUCAUAAACAAAUAAUGCCUGUACCAUAACCGACACAGGUGGGUAGGUAGAGUAUACUAAGGGGCGCGAGAUAACUCUCUCUAAGGAACUCGGCAAAAUGACUCCGUAACUUCGGGAGAAGGAGUGCCUUAUUUAUAAGGUUGCAAUAACAAGAUCCAAGCAACUGUUUACCAAAAACACAGGUCUCCGCUAAGUCGUAAGACGAUGUAUGGGGGCUGACGCCUGCCCAGUGCCAGAAGGUUAAAGAAGUUGGUUAGCAUCCGCGAAGCUGAUAACUGAAGCCCUGGUGAACGGCGGCCGUAACAAUAGCGGUCCUAAGGUAGCGAAAUUCCUUGUCGGGUAAGUUCCGACCCGCACGAAAGGCGUAAUGAUUUGGAUACUGUCUCGGAGAGGGGCUCGGUGAAAUAGACUUGUCUGUGAAGAUGCGGACUACCUGCACCAGGACAGAAAGACCCUAUGAAGCUUUACUGUAACCUGAAAUUGAAAUUGGACUUUACUUGCGCAGUAUAGGUGGGAGGCGUUGAGAAUAUUCUUGCGGGAUUAUUGGAGCCAUCAGUGAGAUACCACUCUUGUAAUGUUAGAUUUCUAACUUUGUAUCAUUAUCUGGUCAAAGAACAGUUUCAGGCGGGCAGUUUGACUGGGGCGGUCGCCUCCUAAACGGUAACGGAGGCGCACAAAGGUUUCCUCUGAACGGGUAGAAAUCGUAUCUAGAGUGUAAAGGCAUAAGGAAGCUUGACUGUGAGACCUACAAGUCGAGCAGGGACGAAAGUCGGUCUUAGUGAUCUGACGGUGCUGAGUGGAAAGGCCGUCACUCAACGGAUAAAAGUUACUCUAGGAUAACAGGCUGAUCUCCCCCAAGAGUUCACAUCGACGGGGAGGUUUGGCACCUCGAUGUCGGCUCAUCGCAUCCUGGGGCGGUAGUACGUCCCAAGGGUUGGGCUGUUCGCCCAUGAAAGCGGUACGCGAGCUGGGUUCAGAACGUCGUGAGACAGUUCGGUCCAUAUCCGGUGUAGGCGUUAGAAUAUUGAGAGGAGCCUUCUUUAGUACGAGAGGACCGAGAAGGACAUACCUCUGGUGUACCAGUUAUCGUGCCAACGGUAAACGCUGGGUAGCUAUGUGUGGAGUGGAUAACCGCUGAAAGCAUCUAAGUGGGAAGCCCACCUCAAGAUAAGUA